RNAcentral lists this ribosomal RNA (119 nucleotides) under Pteropus alecto (black flying fox). The record is from RNAcentral. Lineage: Eukaryota; Metazoa; Chordata; Mammalia; Chiroptera; Pteropodidae.
GUCGAUGGCCAUACCACCCUGAACAAGCCCCAUCCCAUCUGAUCUCGGAAGCUAAGCAGGAUCGGGCCUGGUUAGUACUUGGAUGGGAGACCACUCAGGAUGACCGGGUGCUGUAGGCG